This 560-nucleotide ribosomal RNA is filed under the name uncultured Glomus. Its description in RNAcentral is "SSU rRNA". It matches the Rfam family "Eukaryotic small subunit ribosomal RNA", at positions 546 to 1106 of the family's 1831-position model. Lineage: Eukaryota; Fungi; Glomeromycota; Glomeromycetes; Glomerales; Glomeraceae. The record is from RNAcentral.
AAUUGGAGGGCAAGUCUGGUGCCAGCAGCCGCGGUAAUUCCAGCUCCAAUAGCGUAUAUUAAAGUUGUUGCAGUUAAAAAGCUCGUAGUUGAAUUUCGGGAUCAAUAUUUCGGUCAUGCCGUUGGUAUGCACUGUUAUCAUUGAUUUCUCACCUUCUAAAGAACCGUAAUGCCAUUAAUUUGGUGUUACGGGGAAUUAGGACUGUUACCUUGAAAAAAUUAGAGUGUUUAAAGCAGGCUCACGCUUGAAUACAUUAGCAUGGAAUAAUGAAAUAGGACAUCCGAUUCUAUUUUGUUGGUUUCUAGGAUCGAUGUAAUGAUUAAUAGGGAUAGUUGGGGGCAUUAGUAUUCAAUUGUCAGAGGUGAAAUUCUUGGAUUUAUUGAAGACUAACUACUGCGAAAGCAUUUGCCAAGGAUGUUUUCAUUAAUCAAGAACGAAAGUUAGGGGAUCGAAGACGAUCAGAUACCGUCGUAGUCUUAACCAUAAACUAUGCCGACUAGGGAUCGGAUGAUGUUAAUUUUUUAAUGACUCAUUCGGCGCCUUACGGGAAACCAAAGUGU